Molecule: transfer RNA, 73 nt
Filed under: Dipodomys ordii (Ord's kangaroo rat)
Lineage: Eukaryota; Metazoa; Chordata; Mammalia; Rodentia; Heteromyidae
Rfam family: tRNA
About the family: Transfer RNA (tRNA) molecules are approximately 80 nucleotides in length. Their secondary structure includes four short double-helical elements and three loops (D, anti-codon, and T loops). Further hydrogen bonds mediate the characteristic L-shaped molecular structure. tRNAs have two regions of fundamental functional importance: the anti-codon, which is responsible for specific mRNA codon recognition, and the 3' end, to which the tRNAs corresponding amino acid is attached (by aminoacyl-tRNA synthetases). tRNAs cope with the degeneracy of the genetic code in two manners: having more than one tRNA (with a specific anti-codon) for a particular amino acid; and 'wobble' base-pairing, i.e. permitting non-standard base-pairing at the 3rd anti-codon position.
Source: Rfam by way of RNAcentral
GGAGAUGUGGCUCAGUGGUAAGAGUGCCUGCCUAGCAAGCAAGAGGCCCUGAGUUCAAAUUCCAGUACCACCA